UUUGAAAUUCAUAUUGCUUAGAUCCAAGCUAGGUGUGAGAGUGAGUGUUGAAUAUGUAUUUGUGUUAUUGGAGUUUGUUUGAAAUCUCAUAUUGCUUAGGUUCUUAGACUAUUGAAUGUUUAAAUAUGUGAGGACAACCUUGUCAUUUGAGCUAACUUUUAGGGGUUGAGAUCCAAACAUAUUUAGCAUAAACCACUCCUCAUUAUUUUAUUU
RNAcentral lists this long non-coding RNA (213 nucleotides) under Lathyrus oleraceus (garden pea). RNAcentral's name for it is "Pisum sativum (pea) long non-coding RNA (PSAT_LNC007732)". The record is from RNAcentral. Lineage: Eukaryota; Viridiplantae; Streptophyta; Magnoliopsida; Fabales; Fabaceae.